GCCUCCGUGGUGCAAUCGGCUAGCGCGUUCGGCUGUUAACCGAAAGGUUGUUGGUUCGAGCGCACCCGGGGGCG
Molecule: transfer RNA, 74 nt
Filed under: Trichonephila inaurata madagascariensis
Lineage: Eukaryota; Metazoa; Arthropoda; Arachnida; Araneae; Nephilidae
Rfam family: tRNA
About the family: Transfer RNA (tRNA) molecules are approximately 80 nucleotides in length. Their secondary structure includes four short double-helical elements and three loops (D, anti-codon, and T loops).
Source: Rfam by way of RNAcentral